ACGGGUGAGUAACACGUGGUCAACCUUCCCUACAGUGGGGGAUAACUAGCCGAAAGGUUAGCUAAUACCGCAUAACAUCUACGAGUGGCAUCACAUGUAGAUCAAAGGAGCAAUCCGCUGAAGGAUGGGACCGCGCCCGAUUAGUUAGUUGGUGGGGUAAUGGCCUACCAAGACUCCGAUCGGUAGCUGGUUUGAGAGAGCGACCAGCCACACUGGGACUGAGAAACGGCCCAGACUCCUACGGGAGGCAGCAGUGAGGAAUUUUCCGCAAUGGGCGAAAGCCUGACGGAGCGACGCCGCGUGUGGGAAGAAGGCCUUCGGGUCGUAAACCACUGUCGAAGGGGAAGAUAAUGACGGUACCCUUGGAGGAAGCCCCGGCUAACUACGUGCCAGCAGCCGCGGUAAGACGUAGGGGGCGAGCGUUAUUCGGAAUUAUUGGGCGUAAAGCGCUCGUAGGCGGGACCGAAAGUCGGUGAGGAAAGACCUGGGCUCAACUCAGGGAACUGCAUCGAUACUUCGGUUCUUGAGGUAAUCAGAGGGUGAUGGAAUUCCCGGUGUAGCGGUGAAAUGCGUAGA
This 576-nucleotide ribosomal RNA is filed under the name uncultured bacterium. Its description in RNAcentral is "bacterial SSU rRNA". It matches the Rfam family "Bacterial small subunit ribosomal RNA", at positions 102 to 694 of the family's 1533-position model. The record is from RNAcentral.